This 1269-nucleotide long non-coding RNA is filed under the name Mytilus galloprovincialis (Mediterranean mussel). Lineage: Eukaryota; Metazoa; Mollusca; Bivalvia; Mytilida; Mytilidae. The record is from RNAcentral.
AUUUUUAUACGACCGCAAAAAUUUUAAUUUUUCGUCGUAUAUUGCUAUCACGUUGGCGUCGUCGUCGUCUUGCGUCGUCCGAAUACUUUUAGUUUUCGCACUCUAACUUUAGUAAAAGUGAAUAGAAAUCUAUGAAAUUUUAACUCAAGGUUUAUGACCACAAAAGGAAGGUUGGGAUUGAUUUUGGGAGUUUUGGUCCCAACAUUUUAGGAAUAAGGGGCCAAAAAGGGCCCAAAUAAGCAUUUUCUUGGUUUUCGCACUAUAACUUUAGUUUAAGUAAAUUGAAAUCUAUGAAAUUUUAACACAAGGUUUAUGACCACAAAAGAAAGGUUGGGAUUGAUUUUGGGAGUUUUUGGUUUCAACAGUUUAGGAGUUAGGAGCCAAAAAAGGGCCCAAAUAAGCAUUAUUCUUGGUUUUCGUACAAUAACUUUAGUAUAAGUAAAUAGAAAUCAAUGAAAUUUAAACACAAGGUUUAUGAACACAAAAGGAAGGUUCUGAUUGAUUUUGGGAGUUUUGGUCCCAACAGUUUAGGAAUUAGGGGCCAAAAAGGGGCCCAAAUAAGCAUUAUUCUUGGUUUUCGCACCAUAACUUUAGUAUAAGUAAAUAGAAAUCUAUGAAAUUUAAACACAAGGUUUAUGACCAUAAAAGGAAGAUUGGGUUUGAUUUUGGGAGGUUUGGUCCCAACAGUUUAGGAAUAAGGGGCCCAAAGGGUCCAAAAUUGAACUUUGUUUGAUUUCAUCAAAAAUUGAAUAAUUGGGGUUCUUUGAUAUGCCGAAUCUAACUGUGUAUGUAGAUUCUUAAUUUUUGGUCCCGUUUUCAAAUUGGUCUACAUUAAGGUCCAAAGGGUCCAAAAUUAAACUUAGUUUGAUUUUAACAAAAAUUGAAUCCUUGGGGUUCUUUGAUAUGCUGAAUCUAAAAAUGUACUUAGAUUUUUGAUUAUUGGCCCAGUUUUCAAGUUGGUCCAAAUCGGGGCCAAAAUUAAACUUUGUUUGAUUUCAUCAAAAAUUGAAUAAUUGGGGUUCUUUGAUAUGCCAAAUCUAACUGUGUAUGUAGAUUCUUAAUUUUUCGUCCCGUUUUCAAAUUGGUCUACAUUAAAGUCCAAAGGGUCCAAAAUUAAACUAAGUUUGAUUUUAACAAAAAUUGAAUUCUUGGGCUUUUUUGAUAUGCUGAAUCUAAACAUAUACUUAGAUUUUUGAUUAUGGGCCCAGUUUUCAAGUUGGUUCAAAUCAGGAUCCAAAAUUAUUAUAUUAAGUAUUCAGCAAUAGCAAG